AUUGAACGCUGGCGGCAUGCCUUACACAUGCAAGUCGAACGGUAACGCGGGGGCAACCCUGGCGACGAGUGGCGAACGGGUGAGUAAUACAUCGGAACGUACCCAGUAGUGGGGGGAUAGCUCGGCGAAAGCCGGAUUAAUACCGCAUACGACCUAUGGGUGAAAGCGGGGGAGUCGCAAGACCUCGCGCUAUUGGAGCGGCCGAUGUCGGAUUAGCUAGUUGGUGAGGUAAAGGCNCACCAAGGCUACGAUCCGUAGCUGGUCUGAGAGGACGACCAGCCACACUGGGACUGAGACACGGCCCAGACUCCUACGGGAGGCAGCAGUGGGGGAAUUUUGG
RNAcentral lists this ribosomal RNA (340 nucleotides) under uncultured bacterium. RNAcentral's name for it is "bacterial SSU rRNA". It matches the Rfam family "Bacterial small subunit ribosomal RNA", at positions 29 to 368 of the family's 1533-position model. The record is from RNAcentral.